CCGGGUGUAGUUCAGCUGAUAGAACGCGCGGUUUGGGACCGCGAGGCUCGUGGGUUUGAGCCCCACCACUCGGACCA
This 77-nucleotide transfer RNA is filed under the name Muriventricola aceti. Its description in RNAcentral is "tRNA-Pro". It matches the Rfam family "tRNA". From Rfam's summary of the family: Transfer RNA (tRNA) molecules are approximately 80 nucleotides in length. Their secondary structure includes four short double-helical elements and three loops (D, anti-codon, and T loops). Further hydrogen bonds mediate the characteristic L-shaped molecular structure. tRNAs have two regions of fundamental functional importance: the anti-codon, which is responsible for specific mRNA codon recognition, and the 3' end, to which the tRNAs corresponding amino acid is attached (by aminoacyl-tRNA synthetases). tRNAs cope with the degeneracy of the genetic code in two manners: having more than one tRNA (with a specific anti-codon) for a particular amino acid; and 'wobble' base-pairing, i.e. permitting non-standard base-pairing at the 3rd anti-codon position. RNAcentral also lists the same sequence under 1 other name. The record is from RNAcentral. Lineage: Bacteria; Bacillati; Bacillota; Clostridia; Eubacteriales; Oscillospiraceae.